UACGUAGGGACCGAGCGUUGUCCGGAUUCAUUGGGCGUAAAGAGCUCGUAGGCGGCCACUCAAGUCGAAUGUGAAACCUCGAGGCUCAACCUCGAGCCUGCAUUCGAUACUGGGCGGCUAGAGUCUGGUAGGGGGAUCUGGAAUUCCUGGUGUAGCGGUGGAAUGCGCAGAUAUCUGGAGGAACACCGGUGGCGAAGGCGGCAUCCUGGACCGACACUGACGCUGAGGAGCGAAAGCCAGGGGAGCAAACGGG
RNAcentral lists this ribosomal RNA (253 nucleotides) under uncultured bacterium. RNAcentral describes it as "partial 16S ribosomal RNA". It matches the Rfam family "Bacterial small subunit ribosomal RNA", at positions 524 to 776 of the family's 1533-position model. The record is from RNAcentral.